Molecule: ribosomal RNA, 474 nt
Filed under: uncultured organism
Description: partial 16S ribosomal RNA
Rfam family: Bacterial small subunit ribosomal RNA
Source: RNAcentral
CACUCCUGCGGGAGGCAGCAGUGGGGAAUUUUGGACAAUGGGCGAAAGCCUGAUCCAGCCAUGCCGCGUGCAGGAUGAAGGCCUUCGGGUUGUAAACUGCUUUUGUACGGAACGAAACGGCCUUUUCUAAUAAAGAGGGCUAAUGACGGUACCGUAAGAAUAAGCACCGGCUAACUACGUGCCAGCAGCCGCGGUAAUACGUAGGGUGCAAGCGUUAAUCGGAAUUACUGGGCGUAAAGCGUGCGCAGGCGGUUAUGUAAGACAGUUGUGAAAUCCCCGGGCUCAACCUGGGAACUGCAUCUGUGACUGCAUAGCUAGAGUACGGUAGAGGGGGAUGGAAUUCCGCGUGUAGCAGUGAAAUGCGUAGAUAUGCGGAGGAACACCGAUGGCGAAGGCAAUCCCCUGGACCUGUACUGACGCUCAUGCACGAAAGCGUGGGGAGCAAACAGGAUUAGAAACCCUAGUAGUCCCAUG